Oryza sativa Japonica Group (Japanese rice) is the source of this 1274-nucleotide long non-coding RNA. RefSeq lists it as uncharacterized. Lineage: Eukaryota; Viridiplantae; Streptophyta; Magnoliopsida; Poales; Poaceae. The record is from RefSeq and is a predicted model, not a curated record.
UCUCAGUCUCCCGCUUUUUCUCCUCUCCUCUCUCUCUCUCUCACACUGACGACGGCGAGGGCGGGAGCGGCGCGGUGCGCUCGGGUGGGGCCGGUCGACGUCUGCAGCGGCCACAGCGGUGGGCGGGAGCGGCGCGGCAACGGCGGGCUCGACGGCCGGCGCCCUCCUCCUCCCAGAUCCAGCGGCGGCGCGCUUGGGAGGGGCCGGGAGCGGCCACGGCGGGCGGCGGGAGCGGCGCGGCAGUCCGCUCAAUCCCUCAUCUUCUUCUGUCCUCACGGCCUCCACUUUCUGCUUCGCCUCAUCCAGUCCGCUUCCUCCCCACAUGCCGUUUCCUCUUUCCCAUGGACUGCGUCGGAGAAAUUGCCGAACGUGAAGAGUUUGGGUAGCUCAAUGGGUGGGGAGCAUCGCAGCAGCGGCGGGAGCCCCCGAUCCGUCGAGAUCCAGCGCGGGGAGAGGGUGUGGGACGCGAGUACACCGACGACGAUGGACGCCGUCGAGGAGCUCACGCAGCUGUCGGAGUCGAUGCGCCAGGUGGCGUCGCUGCUGGCCGACGACGACCCCUGUGACGACUCCGCCCCACGCCGCCUCUCCACCUUCGUCAACGCCGUCGCGCUCGGCAACGUUGGGCGGGCAAGAUGGCCGUGCUGAACAGCCUCAUCGGCCACCCCAUGCUGGUGAGCUCGUACUAAUGGCCACCACCUUGCCCUUCUCCGCUUACAGCCGCGCACCCACCCACUGUAGCACACGGGGUGUGGGGAGCAGGUGAUAGGUGAGGCGAGCAACCUCCUCCAUGGCGCCGCCCCAGUGCCGAUGAGCAGCGUCGUCCCUGCUGUUUGAGUGCUGAUGAGAUGGAUGUGGCUGGAUGUUGUUGGUGUGCGGUUGCUCCUAUGCGGGAAGAGCUGCCAGCUGCAGUGGAUGAAAAAUAUCCAUGCAAUUUUCGGCUUGCUAAAUGGUGAAACAAUUAGAGGACCAGAAAGAGGCAGCAAGGAAGAAUGAAGAAGAAACUGAGAAGCUGAGGCAGCAAGGAAGUGAAAUCCAAAGCUUCGUUCGCUCCUUGAUUGGCAGCAAGUUUGCAUCAUUAGAUGCUCAGCAAUGUGCUGCUGUUGCUCUCGAUGUAGGAGGAAGAUGAAAUUUGAGACUUUGGAUAUGUAUUGAAUUAGUGGAUGGAUGUACUGAUAUUGCAUUUUCAGACUUGUGGAGUGUGAAAUGCAUAUGACAUUGCAAUCAUUUGUGGAAUGUUAAUUCAUUUGAAUCUGAUUUUGUAUGUGCAGAAA